RNAcentral lists this ribosomal RNA (245 nucleotides) under uncultured bacterium. RNAcentral describes it as "partial 16S ribosomal RNA". It matches the Rfam family "Bacterial small subunit ribosomal RNA", at positions 1257 to 1500 of the family's 1533-position model. The record is from RNAcentral.
GCGAAGUGGAGCAAAACUACUGAAAAACAAUCUCAGUUCAGAUUGCAGGCUGCAACUCGCCUGCAUGAAGUCGGAAUUGCUAGUAAUCGUAGGUCAGCAUACUACGGUGAAUACGUUCCCGGGCCUUGUACACACCGCCCGUCAAACCAUGAGAGUUGGCAACACCCGAAGUCGGUAGUCUAACCGCAAGGAGGACGCCGCCGAAGGUGGGGUUGAUGAUUAGGGUUAAGUCGUAACAAGGUAAC